This 553-nucleotide long non-coding RNA is filed under the name Helianthus annuus (common sunflower). The record is from RNAcentral. Lineage: Eukaryota; Viridiplantae; Streptophyta; Magnoliopsida; Asterales; Asteraceae.
AUGGAAACGAGAUCAGCAGGGGAGAGCGAACGGGAAAGAGGGAGAGAGAGAGGCAAUGGAGAAGGUGAGAGACCUGGUAUGGCCUCGGACCAGCCACCUUAAACCGGGAUAACGAUGACAGUGAUUGUGUCACUUGGUCAGAGAACGAAGAUCGAGAACGGUAGUCUAAAACCCUAGGCAACGAUGGCGUUCCGGUGAUGAGAUUGCAGGUGUAUUCUUCAUACGAUUAGGUCAUAUGGUUCAGAUGACUGCAGCGAGUGGCGGCUAGGGUUUUGCUCUAUUUUAGUUGUUCAUCCUUUCCUUGCUUCUGUCGAGUAUUCUGAGCGACCUUUCAAUUUCAUUUUAAAUAAUCAGAUUUGGAGUAGCUUUAAACGUUGCUUGAAUUAGCCAUUCUAAGAAACCGGAAGAGUAAAGAGAGAGCGCGUGCAUGGAGGAAUAAGAUCUGGUGGCGGCUGAUGACGACGGUGUCUAUCGAUCGUCAUCAGUCAUCAUUGAUGUCACGAUUCAAGAUUAGACGGCGGCUCCGGUGCUUGACCAGUGGACGCAUACUCAG